AUUGAACGCUGGCGGCAGGCUUAACACAUGCAAGUCGAGCGGAGUGAUGGUGCUUGCACUAUCACUUAGCGGCGGACGGGUGAGUAAUGCUUAGGAAUCUGCCUAUUAGUGGGGGACAACAUCUCGAAAGGGAUGCUAAUACCGCAUACGUCCUACGGGAGAAAGCAGGGGAUCACUUGUGACCUUGCGCUAAUAGAUGAGCCUAAGUCGGAUUAGCUAGUUGGUGGGGUAAAGGCCUACCAAGGCGACGAUCUGUAGCGGGUCUGAGAGGAUGAUCCGCCACACUGGGACUGAGACACGGCCCAGACUCCUACGGGAGGCAGCAGUGGGGAAUAUUGGACAAUGGGGGAACCCUGAUCCAGCCAUGCCGCGUGUGUGAAGAAGGCCUUAUGGUUGUAAAGCACUUUAAGCGAGGAGGAGGCUCUUUUGGUUAAUACCCAAGAUGAGUGGACGUUACUCGCAGCAUAAGCACCGGCUAACUCUGUGCCAGCAGCCGCCGUAA
RNAcentral lists this ribosomal RNA (502 nucleotides) under uncultured bacterium. Its description in RNAcentral is "partial 16S ribosomal RNA". It matches the Rfam family "Bacterial small subunit ribosomal RNA", at positions 30 to 523 of the family's 1533-position model. The record is from RNAcentral.